AAAUUGAAGAGUUUGAUCAUGGCUCAGAUUGAACGCUGGCGGCAGGCCUAACACAUGCAAGUCGAACGGUAACAGGAAACAGCUUGCUGUUUCGCUGACGAGUGGCGGACGGGUGAGUAAUGUCUGGGAAACUGCCUGAUGGAGGGGGAUAACUACUGGAAACGGUAGCUAAUACCGCAUAAUGUCGCAAGACUAAAGAGGGGGACCUUCGGGCCUCUUGCCAUCGGAUGUGCCCAGAUGGGAUUAGCUAGUA
RNAcentral lists this ribosomal RNA (253 nucleotides) under Escherichia coli. RNAcentral's name for it is "partial 16S ribosomal RNA". It matches the Rfam family "Bacterial small subunit ribosomal RNA", at positions 1 to 250 of the family's 1533-position model. RNAcentral also lists the same sequence under 1 other name. Lineage: Bacteria; Pseudomonadati; Pseudomonadota; Gammaproteobacteria; Enterobacterales; Enterobacteriaceae. The record is from RNAcentral.